GCGUCUGUAGUCCAACGGUUAGAAUAAUUGCCUUCCAAGCAAUAGAUCCGUGUUCGCAAACGCA
Brassica oleracea var. oleracea is the source of this 64-nucleotide transfer RNA. It matches the Rfam family "tRNA". Rfam says of the family: Transfer RNA (tRNA) molecules are approximately 80 nucleotides in length. Lineage: Eukaryota; Viridiplantae; Streptophyta; Magnoliopsida; Brassicales; Brassicaceae. The record is from Rfam.